RNAcentral lists this ribosomal RNA (373 nucleotides) under uncultured bacterium. RNAcentral's name for it is "bacterial SSU rRNA". It matches the Rfam family "Bacterial small subunit ribosomal RNA", at positions 39 to 419 of the family's 1533-position model. The record is from RNAcentral.
CGGGAAUUCGAUUCAGGCCUAACACAUGCAAGUCGAGGGUCUGUUUUAGCAAUAGAGCAGGCACUGGCAUCCGGGUGAGUAACGCGUAGGUGAUCUACCCCUAUCACAGACAUAACAGUUCUAACGGACUGCUAAUAUCUGAUGAGGCGAGUAAUCGUCAAAGCUUUGGCGGAUAGGGAUGAGCCUGCGUCUGAUUAGGUAGUUGGUGAGGUAACGGCUCGCCAAGCCGACGAUCAGUGGCUGGUCUGAGAGGACGAACAGCCACACUGGAACUGAGACACGGUCCAGACUCCUACGGGAGGCAGCAGUGAGGAAUAUUGGUCAAUGGGCACAAGCUUGAAAGAGCGACGCCGCGUGCGGGAUGAAGGGGCUC